GACGAACGCUGGCGGCGUGCUUAACACAUGCAAGUCGAACGGUAAGGCCCUUCGGGGUACGACGAGUGGCGAACGGGUGGAGUAACACGUGGGUGAUCUGCCCUGCACUUUGGGAUAAGCCUGGGAAACUGGGUCUAAUACCGAAUAGGACCAUGGACUUCACGGUUUGUGGUGGAAAGCUUUUGCGGUGUGGGAUGGGCCCGCGGCCUAUCAGCUUGUUGGUGGGGUAAUGGCCUACCAAGGCGACGACGGGUAGCCGGCCUGAGAGGGUGACCGGCCACACUGGGACUGAGAUACGGCCCAGACUCCUACGGGAGGCAGCAGUGGGGAAUAUUGCACAAUGGGCGCAAGCCUGAUGCAGCGACGCCGCGUGAGGGGAUGAC
Molecule: ribosomal RNA, 383 nt
Filed under: uncultured bacterium
Lineage: Bacteria
Description: bacterial SSU rRNA
Rfam family: Bacterial small subunit ribosomal RNA
Source: RNAcentral